RNAcentral lists this ribosomal RNA (466 nucleotides) under uncultured bacterium. Its description in RNAcentral is "partial 16S ribosomal RNA". It matches the Rfam family "Bacterial small subunit ribosomal RNA", at positions 28 to 507 of the family's 1533-position model. The record is from RNAcentral.
GAUGAACGCUGGCGGCGUGCUUAACACAUGCAAGUCGAACGGAAAGGCCCAAGCUUGCUUGGGUACUCGAGUGGCGAACGGGUGAGUAACACGUGGGUGAUCUGCCCUGCACUUCGGGAUAAGCCUGGGAAACUGGGUCUAAUACCGGAUAGGACCACAUUUUGGAUGGUGUGGUGGAAAGUCUUUCGGUGUGGGAUGAGCUCGCGGCCUAUCAGCUUGUUGGUGGGGUAAUGGCCUACCAAGGCGUCGACGGGUAGCCGGCCUGAGAGGGUGUACGGCCACAUUGGGACUGAGAUACGGCCCAGACUCCUACGGGAGGCAGCAGUGGGGAAUAUUGCACAAUGGGCGCAAGCCUGAUGCAGCGACGCCGCGUGGGGGAUGACGGCCUUCGGGUUGUAAACGCCUUUCGCUAGGGACGAAGCGUUAUGUGACGGUACCUGGAGAAGAAGCACCGGCUAACUACGUG